AAUCCUCAAACCAGGUUUACUUGGUUUGGAUGUGGUGAGUCUGGGAGACUUCCCAGUCUUACUGAAAAUGAUUGUGCAUCACCGGUGAAUCAUCCUGGUAGCUUCAACUGCAACAGAUUUAUCUAUUCAUUUGAUGUCUUCCAUGUUGGUGGUUCUUUACUGUGUGUGCAUCAACUUAGUACACGGAGUGGCAGCUCAGUUAGAGCUGUUCUCUGAUA
This 218-nucleotide unclassified non-coding RNA is filed under the name Phlyctochytrium californicum. Its description in RNAcentral is "partial internal transcribed spacer 2". The record is from RNAcentral. Lineage: Eukaryota; Fungi; Chytridiomycota; Chytridiomycetes; Chytridiales; Chytridiaceae.